CAUAGUGAUCCGGUGGUUCUGAAUGGAAGGGCCAUCGCUCAACGGAUAAAAGGUACUCCGGGGAUAACAGGCUGAUACCGCCCAAGAGUUCAUAUCGACGGCGGUGUUUGGCACCUCGAUGUCGGCUCAUCACAUCCUGGGGCUGAAGUAGGUCCCAAGGGUAUGGCUGUUCGCCAUUUAAAGUGGUACGCGAGCUGGGUUUAGAACGUCGUGAGACAGUUCGGUCCCUAUCUGCCGUGGGCGCUGGAGAACUGAGGGGGGCUGCUCCUAGUACGAGAGGACCGGAGUGGACGCAUCAC
RNAcentral lists this ribosomal RNA (299 nucleotides) under Escherichia coli. RNAcentral's name for it is "partial 23S ribosomal RNA". It matches the Rfam family "Bacterial large subunit ribosomal RNA", at positions 2411 to 2709 of the family's 2925-position model. The record is from RNAcentral. Lineage: Bacteria; Pseudomonadati; Pseudomonadota; Gammaproteobacteria; Enterobacterales; Enterobacteriaceae.